This is an RNA transcript of Nomascus leucogenys (northern white-cheeked gibbon), 4173 nucleotides long. It is a transcript of the gene named nuclear pore complex protein Nup50 pseudogene, with no coding region annotated. The record is from RefSeq and is a predicted model, not a curated record. NCBI's taxonomy places the organism in Eukaryota, Metazoa, Chordata, Mammalia, Primates, Hylobatidae. The transcript has a single exon.
AUGGCCAAAAGAAAUGCCGAGAAGGAACUGACAGGAAUUGGGAUCAAGAAGAUGAAGCUGAAGAGAUGGGAACAUUCUCCGUGGCCAGUGAGGAAGUCUUGAAGAAUAGAGCCAUAAAGAAAGCAAAGCGCAGAAAUGUUGGAUUCGAAUCUGACAGUGGAGGAGACUUUAAAGAUUUUAAAGGUUUGGUGGUACCUUCUGGAGGAGGACGGUUUCCUGGAUUUGGUAGUGGCGCUGGAGGGGAAGCCUUUGGAAGGACUGUCGAAUGGAAACAACAUAACCAGUGCCCCUCCCUUCACCGGUGCAAAGGCAGUGGCAGAGCCCAAGGUAGCCUUUGGUUCUCUUGCUGCAAAUGGCCCUACCGCCUUGGUCGAUAAAAAAGUUUCAAAUCCCAAAACUAAUGGGGACUGUCAGCAGCCCUCCUCCUCUGGCCUUGCUUCCAGUAAAGCUUGUGUCGGAAAUGCCUGUCACAAGCAGUUGGCCGCCUUGAACUGCUCUGUGCGGGAUUGGAUAGUGAAGCACGUGAAUACAAAUCCCCUCUGUGAUCUGACACCUAUCUUUAAAGACUAUGAGAAAUAUUUAGCAAACAUUGAACAGCAACAUGGGAACAAUGGCAGGAAUUCUGAAAGUGAAUCUAACAAAGCGGCGGCUGAAACACAGUCUCCUUCCCUUUUUGGCUCAACAAAAUUACAGCAAGAGUCAACGUUUCUGUUUCAUGGCAACAAAACUGAAGAUAACACCUGACAAGAAGGUGGAGGUGGCAUCUGAAAAGAAAACGGACCCAUCAUCACUAGGAGCGACAAGUGCCUCAUUUAAUUUUGGCAAGAAAGUUGAUAGCUCUGUUUUGGGCUCAUUAAGCUCUGUCCCCCUGACUGGAUUUUCAUUCUCCCCUGGAAACUCCAAUUUAUUUGGCAAAGAUAUUACCCAGAGUAAACCAGUCUCUUCACCAUUUCCCACUAAACCAUUUGAGGCCAAGCGGAAGGUGACAGUGGUGAAUGCAAAGGUGGAGAUUAAGAAAAGAAUGAUGAGCCACCCAAAGUAGUAGUUACAGAAGUAAAAGAAGAAGAUGCUUUUUACUCCAAAAAGUGUAAACUAUUUUACAAGAAAGACAAUGAGUUUAAAGAGAAAGGCAUAGGUACUCUGCAUUUAAAACCUACAGCAAAUCAGAAGACACAGCUUUUGGUGCGGGCAGACACCAAUUUAGGCAACAUAUUGCUGAAUGUUCUGAUUCCACCCAAUAUGCCAUGUACGCGAACAGGGAAAAAUAACGUGCUUAUCGUCUGUGUUCCAAAUCCACCAAUCGACGAGAAGAAUGCCACCAUUCCAGUCACCAUGUUGAUUCGGGUAGAAACCAGCGAGGAUGCAGACGAGUUGCACAAAAUUUUACUGGAGAAAAAGGAUGCCUGAACAUGCGAAGUCGGCUGCGGCAUUAUUGCCAAGUUGCUGCUUCUUCCACCGCCUCUUAGUCAGUUUUUCUUCUCUUCUUUGACAUUCUAAGAACUUAUAGAUAACUUAAAACUUUUGUGAGGAAGAUUAAUGUGGCCAAUAAAACCUUUAAAUGUUAAGUGUCAAGAAACUGCACUCUCCCUUCUUAAGAACUGCCUAAAGCGUAAAAUACAUUUGAAUGCAAUUUUUGGAAGAUUUUUAAAUGUUCGUUUGUUUAUUAAACUAACCCCAAGUGAUUUCUUCAAGGACUGCAAUCAGGGUAUCGAUUCGCUUUCCCAAAGGCUCUUCCAACCCAUGGGUUUUGGGGUCCACCGCCACCACCAGAGAGGCUUUUGAAUAGGUGCCCGGCUGUGUUCAGAAGGAAGCUGGCCUGUAUGCUUCUCUCUGGUGGGCUCAGCCGACAUGUGAGACUUGUUCUGUUACCAAAUGAACCGGGCUGCCACGCUGUGACAGGCGUUUGUCCUCUGCUUUAUUUUUAUUUUGAAGCUAAAAUGUGAGUACUAAGUGUUCACCUCAGCGUCGAAUCAUUGGCCUGUAACCCUGUGGGCUGUUUCACGAGAAUUCAGGACCUGCAUUUUCAUUCUAAAAAGAAAUGAACAGCUUGUGAAGGAGUUUUUUGGCUUUGUAGUUUCCAUUCAUGAGGUAGUGUUACUUCUUUAUCCCCCUAAAGACAAAACGAAGAUAAAGGGGGAUUGCCAGUAAUGGAUUUAAAAGCACAAAUUUGGUAGCUUAUCAUCUACACCAUGGAGAGUGAACCCUUACGAAAUGAAAGUCAAAUGAGACCAUCCUAGAAAAAGAAGAUGCUCAUAGGCAUUUGUACCAUGAUCAACCCCACGCAUAUGAAAACUAUGACCAAGUGAUGUGCCUGGGAGCUUUGACACACAAGCCAUGUGAAUUCACUAGGAAACAUGUAAUAAGGUAAUGGAAGAGAAAAUCGUGUGUAAAUUUUGCCUUUAACUUUAGACAGCAGUAUAUUAUACAUUUGAUAUCUGAAAUAUCUUUACUUUUUUAAGAGUAAGAUUCCAUAUGUCUGUUUGGAAGGGAGCCAUGGUUAUGCACACGAAUAUCCAUGUCACUUCUCCAGGGCUGUCAGGUAACUAACACGAGCAUUCUUUGAAGACUCUGGGCACAUGAAUGAGAUACAGAAUUGAAUGUUUGAAUUUCUACUUUGAUUCCUCAUGAAUCAUUUGAGACUAGUACCAGCUGAUCUUGUAUACAGGCUCAGGGUCAGUGCCCAAGGGCUCACGUGUGUGUGUUCUGAUCUUCAGUGCGUAGCACAUUCUCAUUUAGAAAAGAGUAGUCAGAAUAAUUGUGGACGGUACAGUGGCUUUUUAAAAACUACAGUCUUUAGGUGUAAGGUUUGGGGCCGGGAGCAAUUUUAUGAUCAAAUAUGAUGAACUCCUAAGUACCUGAGGUGUGAUUGGGCCAAUGUUGUCAUGAGGUUCUUGCUCUACUUUCAGUGUUUUGAUUCCACUGGGAGAAUUUGGCCCUAGUGUGUGGCUUUGGAUGAAUCCGUGCAGAGAGAGGUGUGCUUGUACUGUUACAGAAUGCUGUCAGACAUAGCUAUAGUAGGCAUCUAGGGAGGAAGUGGCCAUUAUUUUUACAUUGACGUUUUAGAAUUGAGAAUGCACGUGAGUUUUUGUUGCAGAUGAUUUAUAGUAAGCAAGUGGUUGAUGCUGUUAAUACCAGCCCUGCCCGAUUGACAUUAAUUUUAUUCAACUUUUAAAAAGAUGAAGAACUAAGGGGAACAAAUUUAAGUUUGUUGCAACUUAGCCAAACAUGCUUCCCUGGUACCAGCUGGAAUCAGCAGCUCACAGGCAUCUUUAGGACACUUCAGUGUAUAUGACACAGUACUUUGUUAGCGUCUGCAUGUGUAUGGAAAGUUUACAAAAAAUGGCAUGAAAAGAUGAUUGGAUUUUCUUUUAAACCUGCCCCUUCUGUAAAAAAUAGUUUGUAUAUUUUUAAAUUAGUGGGUAUGUGUGGCUUCCUUUUUUCCUAACAUUCCCAGCAAAUUUUUGCUGCUAAGACUAUCACUGUUAAAGUGAAAAUUAUGGGGGAAUAUGUGAUGAAUAUACCAUAACCCAAAAUGUGAUGUUUUCUUAAAAAUCACUCUUUUAUGCUUUAGGAGCUGGUUGGUCUCUACUUGAUUAUUAGUGUAAAGAGCCUGAGUAUAUGUGGAUUUUAUUGUAAAAUUUAACUCCUUGUCUUUUACUUGGGGCAUGGGGCCCCUGGAGGGCUUACCUAUUUUCCCCACUAUGUUAACAGGUAAUUCUGAUUUAUGCGUUAUUUUAGUUUGACUUAUUUUUAACAAAUUAUUAGAAAUUAUGCUUUAAAAUGUUUAAUGUGGACUGAAAUUUUCAUCUUUUGUUUGAGAAUCUAUGAAGUGUAUCAUAUACGUGGCCUAAAGCAAGGUGUGUAUUUUGUUAUUCUGAAAUUGUUUCGCAUCUGGACAAAUACUAAGUAUCCCAGUGGCCUUUUUUUUUUUAAACCUGUGUAUCCAUCUCAUCCUUUUGCACAUUCCUAGUAAGCAAAAAAAUUUGUUAUGCCAUCUUCAUUAUUCGAAUUACAGACUGAAAAUAUGGCCAGUUUUUAAAGAAGUUUAGAUUAUGUUUUCCAUGGAAGGACAAGUCUGACUGUUCAUGGGCUGAUUUUCUUUAAGAGGAUUAUUCUAUUUUACAAUUUCAAUUCUAGAUCACAUUUUAUAUAUGCUGCAUGCCAAAAAAAAAA